Long non-coding RNA from Harpia harpyja (harpy eagle), 4684 nucleotides. RefSeq lists it as uncharacterized. The record is from RefSeq and is a predicted model, not a curated record. The transcript is spliced from 2 exons. NCBI's taxonomy places the organism in Eukaryota, Metazoa, Chordata, Aves, Accipitriformes, Accipitridae.
AGACACUUUAAUUCUUGCUUUACAGCUGGUUGUUGUUUGUGUUUUUUUUUUUUAAUAUCUUGGUAUGAGCUGGUGCAUUACUUGCAACAGUGCUUCAUCAGCCACAGCCAAACUUUGAGCUCCUUGUGCAGUUAGGCAGCCUGUGUCUUGUAAGCCCUGCCCUGUUCACAUCAGUGGAAAAGGAGCAAGUUACAGCUGGAAGCAGUUUAUUUAGUUUCCCAGAUUGGUUUCUGUGGGGUCAUCCCAAGGAAUCCAGAAAUGCACCCAGCCCAAUACCUGAAAUAGAACUUAGUCAUACAUGGAAGAGUCUCUUCAGUCAUACACACACAUGCUGAUGCUUUCCCUGCACCACUAAUGGACAUUUUUGUGGCUGCUGAGCUUUCUGCAUGUAACUGGCCAUUUUAGUGGCAGCCCAGUCACUUUCCCCUGAAAAGCUAUUCCCACUGUAGCUGUUGCCUCAGUGACCUCCAUGUAAGAGGGGUAUCUAGAUCAGCUGUCUGCAGGAAGCAAACCUAGCUGAAUCUGUUAUUGUGAAAUAGGAAUGCUGUAUGACCUUUAAGUGGGCAGUGCACUUAUAGCUGUGUUGCUUACUCCCUGUCCUUGAAAAGGUGCUGGUAAACAAGUAAAGAUACUGGUAAACAAUCAGUUCCUGACAGGCCAGAUCAACUUCAGUUAUAGGACUGAAGAAAGCUUGGUAUCUUCAAGAAAGAGAUUCAGCUUCUUUGCUUCUGUCUUUAGGAUGCCAUGAAGGCACAAGAAGAUUUUCUUUCCCUCUCAAAAUGUUUUGUAUGUGAACAAUCAAAUGUAGGCUCCAACCCAACAAGAAUUCAAAAUAAUGAUAACACAAGAUUGAACUCAGAUUAGCUUACCAAGAGAGGUCUCAACUUAGUUAAGCUGCAUUAACUUGCAUUUGCUGUGGUUCACAAGCAUGCAUGUUGCCUCAAGUGCUGUAACAUGGUCAUGUGUCCAAAUGUAGCAGCCAGAAUAUUUUUAAAGGCAAUGUAAGUGUUGAUCAUAACUAAGGGAAAAUUGCAUUAAAGGUUAUUUUAUACACCUUCAUAAACCUUCAAUUAGAAAAGCGCAUGAACUUUCAUCCAUUCUUGAGUUUUCUUGCUAUAAUCAAGAGGGCAAAGUUCCUUUAAAGAAACAUUCUUACACAGUAUAUAUACCAGACAUUACAGCCUUACACUAGUGAUAGUGCUGUGAAACAGCAAAGUUAACUGGAAGCUGUUUGUAAAAAAAAAAAAAAAAAUUAAAAAAAAAUCCAAACAAACAAACACCCCAAACCCAAACUGAAUUUAGUCUAUCCUUAUGGUCUAGGCUGAGAAAUGCCAAAAAGUAAACAAAAGCAAAUAUUAUUUACUACUUUUAAGAACUAAACAAAAAGAAGUUGCUCUGAAUGCCUUACGCUGCUUUUUCUUUUGCACCAGUGAGCUGAGAAAUCAUCUAGCACUGGCCACAUCUUGCUUUGUUCCCCUUGAUCACACUGUGCUCAUUUGAAGCACUCUCAUGUGGUAGUGAUGUCCUUAAGUAUCAGAACGAACUGCACAUCAUAGGGGCUGCAGCUUAGCCUUUUUCUGCUACUUGCAGAAUAAGCACAAAGACAACUUCUGUCAAGCAGACUUUCAAGAACCUGCUUUUUCCUAACAAUGUCUGCCUUAAAGCAUAGCCAAAAAUUCUCUUUGCAUCACUUCAUAUUGAGGGAAUAUAAAACAAUGCCCAGGGUGGAGAAAAAUCUCUCUCUUGGGCCAGAGGAGAGCCAUCUCAGGUCUUUGUGCUGUCACAGCUCAGCAGAAUAAAAUCAACCCUCCUGGUAGGAUACAUAGUUAAUCUGGACUCCUAUGCACUAGUGUGCUGCAGCUAAUUAUAGCUCUAGUUCAGGACACACAGCUCAUGGCUUGUCCACAUAGAUCUUCCACCUGAACUUUUUGAACCUAGUCUGUGUUUUUAACAGUGCUCAGAGCUCUUUGUCAGUGUGCUUAUCUCCUUUCUCAAGGCCUGUGAUAUAUGUCUUAGCAGGUGUCAAUCCAUGAGUGAUGCCAGAUCUACAACCAGCGCAGCUCUGGAUUUAAUUUUUUGUUGUUAUUUUGCUUACAAAGUUGAGAUUUCAGGAGGGCAGGCAUGUCCUAUUAUCCCCUUAUUAAUCAAGAAAGGGCAUGUCCCUAGAGCUACCAUAGAUAUAUAUGGACCUGAUAAAGAAAGACCAUUUCUCCAGCCUAGUGGGUGAGGCUUAGAGCCUCUUGGAGCAGCCUUAGGACAAGGUAUGAACUGCAUGGCUUGCUAACUUCCAGGAGGCUGUCACAUACAAGAACAGCAUGUGAAGGGAAGCCAGCCCUUACAUCACAGUUAACUGCAGCUUGGAUUUUGUCCUCUCAGAGAUGCGCACAGCCCACAGCUUGUUCACUGACACUUCUGCUAGAAAAUAGGAGGGAAGCAAAAGUGGACGGAAAGAAAGAAGUCUUGAUGAGCUCCUGAGAAUUGUAUUCAGUGCUCCUCAGCCAGCAUGGAAAUUCCUAGAAGAAACUAAAGGAAGGACAUCUUGUCCUGUUCCCCAGGUUAACAUGCCCUUUAAGAAUCAGGAAAAUGUACAGUCUAGCUCCCUGCUGUGUGCAUAGAUCUGGAAGGAGUGGAGACUUCAAACCACUGCUACAAAGUUCACAAACUCAGUGAUGUUUCUCAAUAACAGUAAGUCCUAAACAUACUCUGAAGUGAUGUUGCUGAUGCUGGUUUUUGUGGGGAAGGUACACGUUUUCUUGUGACCAAAGCUGGGUGCUCCAUGUGGACAAGGUCAUUUCUUCUGAGGACUGGUGACUCUCCGGAGACCUUUCAGUCGACUAAGCAACUCCGUAAUGAAGUCCUACAGUGAGAAUUGGUUGAAGAAGGAUGUCAUGUUAAUUCCAGUGCUCACCAGCCCAAAGAAUACUAUAGCACUUGCAUUAUUGCCACAUUCACCUUCAUGUUGAGCAGAAACCAGAAUUUUGACAUGUAUUGAGCAAACCUAUCUUUUAGCUUAGGAAAGGAGACCUUUCAAUGGAUGAGAAGGAUCUAAAAGCUCCUCUACUUACCUUCCCCUGUCUCCCUCUGGAGCAGGCUUGUUUACAUUCUCCUCAGGAGCCAGCCUGCCCCUCUUCAUCCCAGAUACCUGCUUUUUCCACCUUGAGAUGACCUCAAGAUGCUGUUGUCCUCUGUUAGGUUCCACUGCUUCCUGUUGCCUCCAUAACCUCCUGCCUACUUCUACUGCCCUCCCAAUCUAGGGCAAAGCAAGUCAUCCCUCUUGUUGAACCUGUAAAGCUCCAUGUUGUGGAUUGCAAACCAUCUCGGAGCUGUGCCAAUUCUACAAGGAAGUGGCUGGCAGAGAAGAGGUGGAGCAAAACACCCAUAGCACUAAUGAUAACCUGGAGCAGGGGUUAAGGACAAGCAGAGCAGAUAGAUGAGCAGUUAAUGGAGAUAAACCCUGACUACUUUGCUGACACCACCAAGGACUAUGAACUAAACUGGACCAUCUGGUUAUUCCAAGCAGAAGGCAACGAGACUAGUGCAAAAUUUACCUUCUGCAUGACAAGUAACAUCACAAUAAAGGAGUGUGCGGUCUUUCUUCACCCAAAGAGAUAGCUACGUGUCCUUGUAAUUAGGCAAGGUCACUGGAAGUAUUGCAGCUUGUUACCAUCUGUGCUGUGUAGAAGCCCAGCUUCCUCACUUGGGUGGGUGAUCAGGGGUUGCCUGCCACAGCAUGCUCUGGAAGGAAAUGCCUAGGAUCAUACAUACCUUUUCAGUCAGUCCUUUCACAGGAAACUGGUUUGUUUCCUCUGUCUGCUUUCUGCAGAUAGGCUGCUGUGAUCUUUCAAGGGCACUGGAUUCAAGAUCACCAGGGUGAAAGUACGUAUUCUUGCCAAUGGGGCAGCAGUAUCUGUCUGUAGUUAGCAAGUACCAUGCUGUCCUCAAGACACUUUUAUGGCUCAUGAAUCAGUAGAGCAACCUCUUUUCAGUUAUCUCUCUGGGAAUGCAGGGUUCUUGCCUAAGAUCUGAAAUUCAAACACUCUGAGAACUAUUUCCCUAUUGCCAGCCUUGUCUGCUGAAUCCCUGCUAGGAGACUAUCUGUAAUGAUUGUUACAGCAGAGUUUAAUUUCAGUGAUAGUUGUGCAUCCACCUCAUUUUCUGUAUGGUCAUCACUGUAUAGCUACAUAGGCUCGACAAGAUGUGGAGACUGAUGAAUGAUGUCCAAGCACAGUGUUCACAUGCAAUGCAUGUGACUGAAGCAGUGAUGGGGGACUCCAUUUUGCACAGGGAUGCAAUGCAGUGAAGGCAAUUGCUGUGCAGUGCAUGCACUACACUGCAAAGUAUUGGACUUCACUCCUUUGGACAUUGUGAGAGCUUGUGGGAUUUCUUUAACUCUCUAACUCAAAACCAGUACUUGUAAAGUUCACAUGGGGAAAAAAACCCCACAUGUGUAAGACUAACUUGCGUGGCCACUGCUCAACAAUUAUCUGCCCAAUCCAAUCUGAGGGCCAUCCUACAAUCUUGUCACUCAAAACACUAGAGUGGUUUAGGCUACGAAUGCAUUUACUUAACAGUGUGCAAGAUGGUUACAUGAGCUGUAUCACUGUCUAUAGCUUUUCUACACUGAGAACCAAAUGGUAACUCGGCCUGGUCAGCUUAGGAUGUCCAAAACAUGGAAUGAACUUUC